Molecule: non-coding RNA, 300 nt
Organism: Pelobates cultripes (western spadefoot toad)
Lineage: Eukaryota; Metazoa; Chordata; Amphibia; Anura; Pelobatidae
Source: the annotation of a GenBank genome assembly
UGAACAUGCAAAGAAGUGGACAACCUGCCUAUCAAGUAAACCAGGGGAUACACUCUGCUGCUGGCCUUUUGAAAAUUGCUCCUCCACUGCCAGAGGACCUUUCUGUUCUGUUGUAAGAACCUCUGGCUCUGAAGGGGUUAUGUUGGUUACACUUCAAUUGCCCUGCAUUACUCAACAUCGGUUGUGUUGAAUGGGGAGACCAUAAAUCACUGCUGCCUGCUCUGCACCAGCUUAUGAUCAUCCUUGAACUUUUUUUAAAGUGUUGACUCUAAGAAAUAAACACAGUUAAAUGAUUGGUCC